AUUGAACGCUGGCGGCAGGCCUAACACAUGCAAGUCGAGCGGUAGAGAGAAGCUUGCUUCUCUUGAGAGCGGCGGACGGGUGAGUAAUGCCUAGGAAUCUGCCUGGUAGUGGGGGAUAACGUUCGGAAACGGACGCUAAUACCGCAUACGUCCUACGGGAGAAAGCAGGGGACCUUCGGGCCUUGCGCUAUCAGAUGAGCCUAGGUCGGAUUAGCUAGUUGGUGGGGUAAUGGCUCACCAAGGCGACGAUCCGUAACUGGUCUGAGAGGAUGAUCAGUCACACUGGAACUGAGACACGGUCCAGACUCCUACGGGAGGCAGCAGUGGGGAAUAUUGGACAAUGGGCGAAAGCCUGAUCCAGCCAUGCCGCGUGUGUGAAGAAGGUCUUCGGAUUGUAAAGCACUUUAAGUUGGGAGGAAGGGCAGUAAAUUAAUACUUUGCUGUUUUGACGGUACCGACAGAAUAAGCACCGGCUAACUCUGUG
This 484-nucleotide ribosomal RNA is filed under the name uncultured bacterium. Its description in RNAcentral is "partial 16S ribosomal RNA". It matches the Rfam family "Bacterial small subunit ribosomal RNA", at positions 30 to 507 of the family's 1533-position model. The record is from RNAcentral.